GAUGAACGCUGGCGGCGUGCCUAAUACAUGCAAGUCGAGCGAACAGAUGAGGAGCUUGCUCCUCUGACGUUAGAGGCGGACGGGUGAGUAACACGUGGUUAACCUAACUAUAAGACUGGGAUAACUUCGGGAAACCGGAGCUACUACCGGAUAAUAUAUUGAACCGCAUGGUUCAAUAGUGAAAGACGGUUUUGCUGUCACUUAUAGAUGGAUCCGCGCCGCAUUAGCUAGGUGGUAAGGUAACGGAUUACCAAGGCAACGAUGCGUAGCCGAACUGAGAGGGUGAUCGGCCACACUGGAACUGAGACACGGUCCAGACUCCUACGGGAGGCAGCAGUAGAGAAUCGUCCGCAAGGGGCGAAAGCCUGACGGAGCAACGCCGCGUGAGUGAUAAAGGUCUUCGGAUCGUAAAACUCUGUUAUUAGGGAAGAACAAAUGUGUAAGUAACUAGGCACGUCUUGACGGUACCUUAGCAGAAAGCCACGGCUAACUACGUG
This 497-nucleotide ribosomal RNA is filed under the name uncultured bacterium. RNAcentral's name for it is "partial 16S ribosomal RNA". It matches the Rfam family "Bacterial small subunit ribosomal RNA", at positions 28 to 507 of the family's 1533-position model. The record is from RNAcentral.